RNAcentral lists this transfer RNA (87 nucleotides) under Methanobrevibacter cuticularis. Its description in RNAcentral is "tRNA-Ser". It matches the Rfam family "tRNA". From Rfam's summary of the family: Transfer RNA (tRNA) molecules are approximately 80 nucleotides in length. Their secondary structure includes four short double-helical elements and three loops (D, anti-codon, and T loops). The record is from RNAcentral. Lineage: Archaea; Methanobacteriati; Methanobacteriota; Methanobacteria; Methanobacteriales; Methanobacteriaceae.
UGCCAAGAUAGCCUAGCCAGGUAAGGCGCAGGACUUGAGAUCCUGUGGAGAUUUUCUCCGCCUGGGUUCAAAUCCCAGUCUUGGCGU